CCAGACAAACCAGCUUACUCACUGUUCCCUGAACUCUGUAUUCCACUGCUGGUCUCUAUGUCUUUGAAGAUGUUCUCUCUCAUGCCUGGAAUGUGUUCUUUCUUUACUCCAGCUUCAGAAACCUGAAAAUUCCUUCAUGGAAGAAAGCCAAAAGGAAUCACAAACAAUUCAGGGCAGUUCUAAAAGGUACAUGAUGAUACAGAAAUUCAAUUUGCUUGACUGUUUUCACUCUUUUCAACAAUGUAGAAAAAUCAAACUGAAAGAAUUAAAAAGCAUUUAAGUACAUAUUAUAUGCCCAGCACUGAUGCAGCAAAAGAGCUCUAUCUCUAGAAUGGGAAUUCCUGGACUCAAAUUCUGUCUGUCUGAGGGAACCUGGCUGCUGACCUUGAAAACUGAGAAAAUGGACAAAAUCAAAAACAGUGAAUCUAUCACCAUUUCAAAAUAAGUUUAACCAACAUAAAAAAGUCACCACAAAAGAGAAAUGGAAAGGAGUCCAGAAACCUCUUCUCACCAGAGCGAAACACGGCACUCAAGGGCUAUAUGGGUUUAGAGUCCAAACUAUUUGCAAAAAAAAAAAAAAAAUCUGUGAAGACUGACCAAAUAUUACAAAUAGUUAUCACCUUACAAAAUAGUAAAAGAGAGAAGAAACAGCAAGCCUACACAGAGUUUGACAUGAGGCCCUACUAAACCCCAAAACACUUUGGAUAAAACUGGAUAGUGAACAACAAAUGGAUAUGAAAUGAAAUAGAUCUAAUAUUUCUCUUAUGGCCUAUUCUCAGUGAAAGUAGUAGAGUAUUUGAAUUCUGCCACCAAAGUAGUAGAUGCCCUAUUGUGAGGAAACAGAAGCAGGACUUAAAAUAAAAUAAAAGAUGGAUCUAGAAAAAGCAGGUAGACUUGAACAAAUAUAUAUAUGGAAAUCCAUGCUAGAGGUAAUGAUUUAAAAGACAGUGAUAUACAUGGUUCAGUGGGUAUAUGAUUAGGGAUGUGACUUUAAUUGAUCACUUGAUUGCAAAUAUUAAUAAUAUGGAAAUAGAUUUUGAACAAUGAUACAUGUAAAACUCAGUGGAAUUGCUCAUCAGCUCAGGGAGGGACAAGGGAGGAGGAGAAGGAAAGAACAUGAAUUGUGUACCAUGGAAAAAUAUUCUGAAUUAAUUCAAUAAUUUUUUGAAAAAUCUUCCUAAAGUACAAAAAUAAAUUUAAAAAAUUAAAAACAGUGGUAUAAAGGAUGGGAAUAAAAACAGCAAUAGCUAACAUUUACAUAGCACUUUAAAGUCUACAAACCAUUUUAUAUACUUUAUCUCAUUUGAUCCUCACAACAAUCCUGUAAAGCAAGUAAUAUGGAUAUUAUCAUCACUCUCAUUCUACAUUUGAGAAAACUGAGAAAUAGUGAUUUUGCCUAACGGUAACAUAGUUAGCAAAUAUUGGAAGGUAGGAAUUGAGUCAAGGUCUUUGUUUUCUGAAAGUCCACAUCUUUUUUUCCAUUCUACCUUCCUGCCUCUCAGAUUUCAAAAAAUAUUCCCAACUAUACCUCCAUUCUACUCAAUUUCAAAAGAACUGUAAACAAAUGGAAAAUAUGAUACCUUUUCUUUAAAAAAAAAAGAAAAGCCAACAGGAAGAGCACUGCUUUCUGUUUAGCUUUCUAAAAUGAUGGUAUUCUUGAAGAAAAUAAGAAGAAAAUGGACAAACUUUCUUAGAUGUUUUUCUACAUAGAAUGACCAUCAUAGAGAGGUGUAGGGAACAUAUCAAUUAAUCAACUAGCAAAUAUCUCUCCGUGGUCAUUAAUUUCAACAUAAAGCAUUUGAUUCAGUGAGAGAAAAUGUAGUUUUAAUGGCUCUCCUCAAACCAGAUAACUUUCCCACAUUUCUUAAGAAUUAUAAAAGAUACUAAAUGGAUGAGAGUCAUGAGACAACUUUGUUCAACAAUCAGCUGAAUAUAAUUAUCAUAUGAAAGGUAGUAGGAAGAGAUGUUCUUCUCACUUAUAAUGUCUGACAACAUAAUCACGGAUACCUGUUCAGAGAUCAAAUAAAAGAGGGAUUCUCUACUGCUGACAAGCAUUCUCCCAAUGCUAUUAACAGAUGACACUUCACUGGUUAUAUCAAGCCCCAGAAUACUACACAGGUUCCUCAAUGAAAUCCAGUCAUUCAAAAGAGGAACAAUCAUCCAUAGUCAAAAAACAAAGUGGAUGAUGAAAUCAUUUUGUACAUAUUGCAACAGGCAAUUAGGUAAAAUCACUGAUCUGUUCAGUAUAAUAAACAUCUGUAUGUCAGUUUUGUCAAACAAACAGAAAAGGAUCUACUAAAUGACGUAAAAACCCACAAAUUAACAUUGUCUAUGUCUUGUUGCAUUUUGACUUAUUUUGUUAAAUAUUUCCCAAUAUUUUAAUCUGGUUCAGCUCCACUAGGGAGCACCGAGGGCUAUAGCAAUUAAUGUUGGACCACUCUGGUGUUGAUCAACAAUCAUAUGAACAAUUGACUAGACCCAGACUAGAUUCAGAAUUGAAUAGUAUAUUGAACUAGAUCACAUUUAGAAAAUUGUACAGGAAUGUCAAUAUCUCCAAGCUACUAAAAAAUGCGUGUCCAUCUUUUUAAUAUUAAUAUUGACACGGCAAAACUUCAAAUCAUAGACCACCAUGAUCUUAAAAGAAUUACAAAUGACCCAAAGAGCAAUGGGAAGAUAUAUGCUACUUCACUUCUAUACAAUAAAGGAUAAAAAACACUUUUUACCUCCCUGAGCAAAACUGAUAUCUAAAUCCUGAAUGGUUGGAAGAAGAGGUAGAACUAAAGAAAGGCAUUUGAGUGAGGCCUUAGUGGAGAAUCCAAGGAAAGACAUGAACUGGAACCAUACAGAAUAGGUGUAGAAGACUUACAAUAUUUACCAAUGAAGGGUGUGACUAUACUGGUAACAUGACAGAUUCAUCAAAGGAUUUAAGUAUACUGUAAAAACUGGAUAGAAAUAUGGGGAAAUUUUAUUUUGAUUUGAUAAAAUUACUUUCUGUGCCAUAAUCAUUUCUGUUGGAUCAGACAAAAAUAAGAAAAAAUGAAAUUAAAACCAUAUUUAUCUUAUUUUUAGAGGAUGGAUAAAUGUUUCUCAGAGAAACAGAAGAAAUUACAAGAGCUAAGGGAGAACAAAAAAUUUAAAAAUCACUGUUUUAAAUUAUACAUACUUCAAAACAUCUGUGAUUUCAUUAACAUAGGUGCUCUCUCCAAAUGUAUAGACCCAAUUCAUCUACCCCUUCUUUUUUAGAUAUUUUAUUUUACCCAAUUACAUGUAAAAACAAAUUUUAAUAUUCAUCUUUUAAAAUUUUGGAGUUCCAAAUUCUCUCCCUCCCACAUCCUCCCCCCCCCACUUCCCAUGAGAUGGUAAACAAUCUGAUAGAGAUCUUACAUGUGCAGUCAUGUAAAACAUUUUUCCAUAUUAGUCAUUUUGUGAAAGAGGGCUCAGAUAAAAAAAAAAGAAGAAAGUGAAAUAUAGUAUGUUUUGGUUUACAGUCAGAAUCUAUCAGUUCUUUCUCUGAGGGCAGAAAACAUUUUUCAUCAUGAGUCUCUUGGAGUAUAUGGAUCACUGUACUGCAGGGAAUAACUAGGUCAUUCACACUUGUUUGUCAAAAAAAAUGUUGCUAUUACUGUUUACAGUAUUCUUCUGUUUCUACUUAUUUCACUUUGCAUUAGUUUAUGUCAGUCUUUCCAGGUUUUUCUGAAAUCAUUCUAUUCUUCAUUUCUUAUAGCACAAUAGUAUUCCAUCAUAAUCAUAUACCAAAACUUGUUCAGUCAUUGUUCAAUUGAUGGACAAUUCCUCAAUUUCCAAUUUUUUGCUAUUACAAAAAGAGUUGCAAUUAAUAGUUUUGUACAAAUAGCUCAAUUUCCCUUUUUAAAAUCUCUUUGGGAUACAGACUUAAUAGUGGUUUUGCUGGAUCAGAGGAUAUACACAUUUCAGAGCCUUUUGUACAUAGUUCCAAAUAUUUCUCCAGAAUGAUUGAAUCAUAUCACAACUCUAUCAACAAUGCAUUAAUGUCCCAAUUUUUCCACAUCCCAGCCAAUGUUUAUUUUCUGUCAUAUUGGCCACUCUGAAAGAUUGAAGUGGUACCUCAAAGUUGCUUUAAUUUGCAUUUCUCUAAUAAAGAGUGAUUUGGAACAUUU
Long non-coding RNA from Monodelphis domestica (gray short-tailed opossum), 4136 nucleotides. RefSeq lists it as uncharacterized. The record is from RefSeq and is a predicted model, not a curated record. NCBI's taxonomy places the organism in Eukaryota, Metazoa, Chordata, Mammalia, Didelphimorphia, Didelphidae.